GUAAUAGCUCACUGGUCGAGUGAAGUUGCGCGGAAAAUUACCGGGGCUAAGUUAUACACCGAAAUUGCGGAUUCAUUAAGAAAUUAAUGAGUGGUAGAGGAGCGUUCUAUACAGGAUGAAGUAUGAUCGAGAGGACAUAUGGACAGUAUAGAAGAGAGAAUGCCGGAAUGAGUAGCGAGAGCAAAGUGAGAAUCUUUGCCGUCGAAAAUCUAAGGUUUCCUGGGGAAGGUUCGUCCGCCCAGGGUAAGUCGGGACCUAAGGUGAGGCCGAAGGGCGUAGCCGAUGGAUAGCAGGUUAAGAUUCCUGCACCAGUAUACAUGUAUAAUGCAUAAGAGGACACAUUUGAAGAAGAUGAGCGAGGAAGAGGAAAAACUCGUAUGGCAACAUAUAGUGAAAUAAAGUAACGAAUCAUCAAGAGGCAAGUGGCGAGAAAAGUCUUAUGUAGUUGUGUAGACUGCCCGUACCGCAAACCGACACAGGUAGAUGAGGAGAGGAUCCUAAGACGAGCGGGAGAAGCAUUGUUAAGGAACUCGGCAAAUUGACCCCGUAACUUAGGGAUAAGGGGUGCUGGUGUAAAAACCAGUCGCAGUAAAUAGGCCCAAGCAACUGUUUAACAAAAACACAGGUUUCUGCUAAAUCGCAAGAUGAAGUAUAGGAGCUGACUCCUGCCCAGUGCUGGAAGGUUAAGGGGAAAGGUUAAGAAUAAUUCAUUAUAUCUGAAGCUUUGAACUCAAGCCCCAGUGAACGGCGGCCGUAACUAUAACGGUCCUAAGGUAGCGAAAUUCCUUGUCAGGUAAGUUCUGACCCGCACGAAAGGUGUAAUGAUUUGGGCACUGUCUCAACAAUGUACCCGGCGAAAUUGUAGUACUAGUGAAGAUGCUAGUUACCUGCGACAAGACGGAAAGACCCCAUGGAGCUUUACUAUAGCCUGAUAUUGGGCUUUGGUAUCUUAUGUACAGGAUAGGUGGGAGACUAUGAGAUUAAGACGCAAGUCUUAAAGGAGUCAACCUUGGAAUACCACCCUUAAGAUAUUAGAGUUCUAACUUGUGAUCAUAAACUGGUCAGAGGACAUUGUCAGGUGGGUAGUUUGACUGGGGCGGUCACCUCCUAAAGAGUAACGGAGGUGCGCAAAGGUUUCCUCGGCACGGUCAGAAAUCGUGCUAAUGAGUGUAAAGGCAUAAGGAAGCUUAACUGAGAGAGAGACAUCUCGACCAGAUACGAAAGUAGGUCUUAGUGAUCCGGUGGUAGAAAAUGGAAUUGCCAUCGCUCAACGGAUAAAAGUUACCCUGGGGAUAACAGGCUUAUCUCCCCCAAGAGUUCACAUCGACGGGGAGGUU
Molecule: ribosomal RNA, 1337 nt
Filed under: human oral metagenome
Description: bacterial LSU rRNA
Rfam family: Bacterial large subunit ribosomal RNA
Source: RNAcentral